Molecule: transfer RNA, 73 nt
Filed under: Stegodyphus mimosarum
Lineage: Eukaryota; Metazoa; Arthropoda; Arachnida; Araneae; Eresidae
Rfam family: tRNA
About the family: Transfer RNA (tRNA) molecules are approximately 80 nucleotides in length. Their secondary structure includes four short double-helical elements and three loops (D, anti-codon, and T loops).
Source: Rfam by way of RNAcentral
GCCUUCAUGGUGUAAUUGGAAACACACUCGACGCAUAUUCCAGAGAUGCAGGUUCGAAUCCUGGUCGAGGGCA